UGAGUGACCUGCCGAUUUGUGGGGGAUAGCCGGGCCAACGCCCGGGUAAUACCGCAUACGCUCUUCUUGGGGCAUCUCUAGAAGAGGAAACCUCCGGGGCAAAUCGAGGGACUCGCGGCCUAUCAGCUAGUUGGCGAGGUAACGGCUCACCAAGGCUACGACGGGUAGCUGGUCUGAGAGGAUGGCCAGCCACAUUGGGACUGAGACACGGCCCAGACUCCUACGGGAGCAGCAGG
Molecule: ribosomal RNA, 236 nt
Filed under: uncultured bacterium
Lineage: Bacteria
Description: partial 16S ribosomal RNA
Rfam family: Bacterial small subunit ribosomal RNA
Source: RNAcentral